Molecule: transfer RNA, 74 nt
Filed under: Danionella translucida
Lineage: Eukaryota; Metazoa; Chordata; Actinopteri; Cypriniformes; Danionidae
Also listed under: 1 other name
Rfam family: tRNA
About the family: Transfer RNA (tRNA) molecules are approximately 80 nucleotides in length. Their secondary structure includes four short double-helical elements and three loops (D, anti-codon, and T loops). Further hydrogen bonds mediate the characteristic L-shaped molecular structure. tRNAs have two regions of fundamental functional importance: the anti-codon, which is responsible for specific mRNA codon recognition, and the 3' end, to which the tRNAs corresponding amino acid is attached (by aminoacyl-tRNA synthetases). tRNAs cope with the degeneracy of the genetic code in two manners: having more than one tRNA (with a specific anti-codon) for a particular amino acid; and 'wobble' base-pairing, i.e. permitting non-standard base-pairing at the 3rd anti-codon position.
Source: Rfam by way of RNAcentral
GACCUGUUAGCUCAGCUGGUUAGAGCGUGGUGCUAAUAACGCCAAGGUCGUGGGUUCGAUUCCCACCUGGGCCA